UAGGGAAUCUUCGGCAAUGGGGGCAACCCUGACCGAGCAACGCCGCGUGAGUGAAGAAGGUUUUCGGAUCGUAAAGCUCUGUUGUAAGAGAAGAACGAGUGUGAGAGUGGAAAGUUCACACUGUGACGGUAACUUACCAGAAAGGGACGGCUAACUACGUGCCAGCAGCCGCGGUAAUACGUAGGUCCCGAGCGUUAUCCGGAUUUAUUGGGCGUAAAGCGAGCGCAGGCGGUUAGAUAAGUCUGAAGUUAAAGGCUGUGGCUUAACCAUAGUACGCUUUGGAAACUGUUUAACUUGAGUGCAGAAGGGGAGAGUGGAAUUCCAUGUGUAGCGGUGAAAUGCGUAGAUAUAUGGAGGAACACCGGUGGCGAAAGCGGCUCUCUGGUCUGUAACUGACGCUGAGGCUCGAAAGCGUGGGGAGCAAACAGGAUUAGGUACCCUGGUAGUCCACGCCGUAACGAUGAGUGCUAGGUGUUGGGUCCUUUCCGGGACUCAGUGCCGCAGCUAACGCAUUAAGCACUCCGCCUGGGGAGUACGACCGCAAGGUU
RNAcentral lists this ribosomal RNA (548 nucleotides) under uncultured bacterium. RNAcentral describes it as "bacterial SSU rRNA". It matches the Rfam family "Bacterial small subunit ribosomal RNA", at positions 355 to 895 of the family's 1533-position model. The record is from RNAcentral.